This 1696-nucleotide ribosomal RNA is filed under the name Escherichia coli. RNAcentral describes it as "partial 23S ribosomal RNA". It matches the Rfam family "Bacterial large subunit ribosomal RNA", at positions 588 to 2269 of the family's 2925-position model. Lineage: Bacteria; Pseudomonadati; Pseudomonadota; Gammaproteobacteria; Enterobacterales; Enterobacteriaceae. The record is from RNAcentral.
GGCGUGUGACUGCGUACCUUUUGUAUAAUGGGUCAGCGACUUAUAUUCUGUAGCAAGGUUAACCGAAUAGGGGAGCCGAAGGGAAACCGAGUCUUAACUGGGCGUUAAGUUGCAGGGUAUAGACCCGAAACCCGGUGAUCUAGCCAUGGGCAGGUUGAAGGUUGGGUAACACUAACUGGAGGACCGAACCGACUAAUGUUGAAAAAUUAGCGGAUGACUUGUGGCUGGGGGUGAAAGGCCAAUCAAACCGGGAGAUAGCUGGUUCUCCCCGAAAGCUAUUUAGGUAGCGCCUCGUGAAUUCAUCUCCGGGGGUAGAGCACUGUUUCGGCAAGGGGGUCAUCCCGACUUACCAACCCGAUGCAAACUGCGAAUACCGGAGAAUGUUAUCACGGGAGACACACGGCGGGUGCUAACGUCCGUCGUGAAGAGGGAAACAACCCAGACCGCCAGCUAAGGUCCCAAAGUCAUGGUUAAGUGGGAAACGAUGUGGGAAGGCCCAGACAGCCAGGAUGUUGGCUUAGAAGCAGCCAUCAUUUAAAGAAAGCGUAAUAGCUCACUGGUCGAGUCGGCCUGCGCGGAAGAUGUAACGGGGCUAAACCAUGCACCGAAGCUGCGGCAGCGACGCUGAUGCGUUGUUGGGUAGGGGAGCGUUCUGUAAGCCUGCGAAGGUGUGCUGUGAGGCAUGCUGGAGGUAUCAGAAGUGCGAAUGCUGACAUAAGUAACGAUAAAGCGGGUGAAAAGCCCGCUCGCCGGAAGACCAAGGGUUCCUGUCCAACGUUAAUCGGGGCAGGGUGAGUCGACCCCUAAGGCGAGGCCGAAAGGCGUAGUCGAUGGGAAACAGGUUAAUAUUCCUGUACUUGGUGUUACUGCGAAGGGGGGACGGAGAAGGCUAUGUUGGCCGGGCGACGGUUGUCCCGGUUUAAGCGUGUAGGCUGGUUUUCCAGGCAAAUCCGGAAAAUCAAGGCUGAGGCGUGAUGACGAGGCACUACGGUGCUGAAGCAACAAAUGCCCUGCUUCCAGGAAAAGCCUCUAAGCAUCAGGUAACAUCAAAUCGUACCCCAAACCGACACAGGUGGUCAGGUAGAGAAUACCAAGGCGCUUGAGAGAACUCGGGUGAAGGAACUAGGCAAAAUGGUGCCGUAACUUCGGGAGAAGGCACGCUGAUAUGUAGGUGAGGUCCCUCGCGGAUGGAGCUGAAAUCAGUCGAAGAUACCAGCUGGCUGCAACUGUUUAUUAAAAACACAGCACUGUGCAAACACGAAAGUGGACGUAUACGGUGUGACGCCUGCCCGGUGCCGGAAGGUUAAUUGAUGGGGUCAGCGCAAGCGAAGCUCUUGAUCGAAGCCCCGGUAAACGGCGGCCGUAACUAUAACGGUCCUAAGGUAGCGAAAUUCCUUGUCGGGUAAGUUCCGACCUGCACGAAUGGCGUAAUGAUGGCCAGGCUGUCUCCACCCGAGACUCAGUGAAAUUGAACUCGCUGUGAAGAUGCAGUGUACCCGCGGCAAGACGGAAAGACCCCGUGAACCUUUACUAUAGCUUGACACUGAACAUUGAGCCUUGAUGUGUAGGAUAGGUGGGAGGCUUAGAAGUGUGGACGCCAGUCUGCAUGGAGCCGACCUUGAAAUACCACCCUUUAAUGUUUGAUGUUCUAACGUUGACCCGUAAUCCGGGUUGCGGACAGUGUCUGGUGGGUAGU